AGUAAAAGUCGUAACAAGGUCUCCGUAGGUGAACCUGCGGAGGGAUCAUUACACAAUAACAAGGCGGGCUGGACACCCCCCGCUGGGCACUGCUUCACGGCGUGCGCGGCGGGGCCGGCCCUGCUGAAUUAUUCACCCGUGUCUUUUGCGUACUUCUUGUUUCCUGGGUGGGCUCGCCCACCCUCAGGACCAACCACAAACCUUUUGCAAUAGCAAUCAGCGUCAGUAACAACGUAAUUAAUUACAACUUUCAACAACGGAUCUCUUGGUUCUGGCAUCGAUGAAGAACGCAGCGAAAUGCGAUACGUAGUGUGAAUUGCAGAAUUCAGUGAAUCAUCGAAUCUUUGAACGCACAUUGCGCCCUUUGGUAUUCCAAAGGGCAUGCCUGUUCGAGCGUCAUUUGUACCCUCAAGCUUUGCUUGGUGUUGGGCGUCUUUUGUCUCCAGUUCGCUGGAGACUCGCCUUAAAGUCAUUGGCAGCCGGCCUACUGGUUUCGGAGCGCAGCACAAGUCGCGCUCUUCGCCAGCCAAGGUCAGCGUCCAGCAAGCCUUUUUUUCAACCUUUGACCUCGGAUCAGGUAGGGAUACCCGCUGAACUUAAGCAUAUCAAUAAGCGGAGGA
RNAcentral lists this ribosomal RNA (620 nucleotides) under uncultured fungus. RNAcentral's name for it is "eukaryotic LSU rRNA". The stretch from base 246 to 399 matches the Rfam family "5.8S ribosomal RNA". The record is from RNAcentral. Lineage: Eukaryota; Fungi.